AUCUUUCUAGUAUAAAAUAAUAUAAGUGACUUCCAAUCACCCGCUCUUGGUUCAAAUCCAAGGAAAGAUA
Molecule: transfer RNA, 70 nt
Filed under: Aenigmachanna gollum
Lineage: Eukaryota; Metazoa; Chordata; Actinopteri; Anabantiformes; Aenigmachannidae
Description: tRNA-Gly
Rfam family: tRNA
About the family: Transfer RNA (tRNA) molecules are approximately 80 nucleotides in length.
Source: RNAcentral